CAGAAUCUACAAAUGAGAAAGAAAGCCAGUAGUUUAUCCUCCUUCUUUGUUGGGUUAUGAGGCUGGGAGGAAAGGAAGUCUUGGAUUCUGUUGCCAUAGGUGGAGAAAAUCAGGGGCUUAAUACAUCUCCUUACUAGGAUGAUGCUAACAAAGGCUGUUCGUCCUAAAUAUUGUCUGCAAAGCAGCUGCUGCUGUUAUUUUUCCUUUGUUGUGGUUGACCUCAAUUAGAAAGACUAUUUUAUGGCAGGAAGAAGCUGUAGUCCCAUUUAUUUUGAUUGUACUACAUGAGAAGCUCUAAAAUCAGAGGGUUAACUCUAUCAUUUACGGAGAAUAGGAAUUUUCAGAAGUGAAUGUGUGAGACUGGGCACAACGCCAUUGUAAUUAUACCUAAGGCAGGGACAUGCCACUUGGAAGUACAUAUACUUUUUUUUUAUGAGUCUGGGAAGUUGAGUAAAACCUCUCAAGGCUGUCAAAGCUUUCUCUUCUGUGCUCAAUAAAUAGAUAUGAAGACAUGAGUAAGUUACUUUCAUUCCUGAGAUUGGAGUCAUCUCACCCGUGGAAAUCAGGCGCCUGGGUUCCAUGAUUUCUAAAGUCCUAUCUAACUCAAUCAUGCUGUAAUUCUAACCCUUGAAAUUUUUGGUAACCACAGAACAUUCUAAUGAAGAAACAGCAUAUUGUCGCUCAUUACCUUAGGUGAAACUCUUGCUAACUGGCAGAUUGACAUGUCUAAUUGCAGCUGCCAUUCACUCAAAUGUUAAUAUGGAUAUAGGGUUGUAUUUGUUUAUGGUAGAGUUGUAGGGAAACAUAAUGUUUCUAUGAACAUUUCACUAUUUAUUUUGCUAAAAUAUUUUGAGCUUAUUGGUUUUGAUAAAUAAUAUGUUAACAUUAACCUUAUUAUAAGGUAAUAGUAUAUUUUUUGAGCUUAAAUGCAAAAGAAUCCCAAGUGACAUUGUAAGAGAAAUUCUAUGCGAAUUUAUGUGUGUGUGUGUGUCUGCAAAUGCACAUAUGAACGUAUGAAGUUUCCCAACAGCAAUAGAAGUUGUGAUGAUACCACAAAUAAAUUCAGUGACUUUCAUAUUCUUCCCUUUUAAUCCAGAGUAAAGUAUUGUGGUCUGAGGGAUCUCUUUGAUUUAUAAAUCUGAUAAUAUUUCUAUUUGCUUAAGAGUUUCAAAUUACCUUAGUAUAAAGUACAAACUUCUUAACAUAAAAUACACCUCAAUACCAGAAUUUGUUAGCCUGUAUAAGCUUUAUGUCCACUGUUCCUCUAUCUGAUACAAUCUAAGAUCCAGCUAUUCUGACCUACUUUUAAAUGCCUGAAUUUUCUAUUUUCUUUCCAGUGUUAAGCCUUUUCAGGGUCGGUCUCCUUUGGCAGAAGUAUCCUUCCCUUGCCUCCUUUCCCGUGAACUCCUUUGCAUUCAGGUGUCAGCUAGAUACAUUUGAUUUUCAAUGAAGGGGAUUAUAAUUCUUUCACAAUAUCGGUUCUGCAUCUGACCACAAAGGCAGACUGAAGAUUCUAAUUAAUUAAUUAGUUAAUUAAUUAACUAAUUGAUAAUUAUGGAGCAUCUACUACCACUGUGUAAAAGUGACACAAGGAAACAUAAAUAGGAACAAGAUAUAAACCCUUGUUAAAGAAAGAAAUGUGGAAAACACACACAUUAAUAUUAUAGAAUAUCACGUGUGAAAUCCAAAUGCUAUGAAGGUUUAGAAUAGAGGGAGUUACAUUUUGUUAAAUUUAGGAAGCAAUUUAUUUUGAUAUUAUCAUGUUUAAAGUUUGCAAGCUGUAUUGGCCCCAAAGAACUUUAGCUCUGAAAGGUACCUCUCAGGCUACCCUUGGGUGAUUGGCCAAAGAUCAAAUAAGGAGGUCUUAGAUCCCCAAAUUCCAGUUCAUUUCGAGUAGCUCCACUUUAUUCUGUGGCUUAAAUUUUGAAAACCACUGAUGUUUUGACUGGAAUAAUGGUAUAUUAUGACAUUAAUGGAUAUUCUCAAGGUGUUUUUCACUUUCAGGAAAAUUGAUGUAUAACAAAUGUAUCCUCUUAAAACUGCACUUAUUUCCCAAGUAACUGACAUGAAAUAGUGAGUCAUCAGUUCAUGGCCAUAAAUGAUACUGAGGUAACUCAAGGCACUAUAUACUUGUCACGUGCAUUCUUUUAUUAGUAUUUAUCAGAAAUAACAUAUAGCAUUGUGAUGUUUAAGAACAGCUCAGUACCCUAUGUUAAAUUGCAAACAUGUCAAUAUUUUGUAGCAAGAAUUUUGGGUUUUUAAGCAGGAGAAAAGGAUAUUGAACUUAAGAAUGACAAAUUCCUGAAAUAACUGUGGAAGAAAAAUGACAUCUUAAUUACAGUACGACUGACCCAUGAACUCCACAGGUCUGAACUCUGCAGGCCUACAUAUACACAGCUGAUUUUUCAACCAAACGCCAUUUGGAUAUACAGUCUUCUCAGGAUGCAAAAUUUGCAUAUUCAUAGGGCAUACUUUCUGUUAAUAUGUGUUAUGUAAGGCUGACUGCUGGACUUGAGUAUGUGCAGAUUUGGGCAGACCUAGGGGUUCUGUAACCAAUCCCCCAGGUACACUGAGGGGCUAUAUUUCCUUCACUUGAAUACAUGUCAUAGUACAUGAUUUAAGCUACUUUUGUUUUCUGUCUUAAUCCUGAUUCAAGUGUUCACUGUAUGAGGUAAAUUAACUCUUCCAGUGCUCUAGGGUAGCAAUUAAUGCCACAGAGGAGGUAAAUUACUAGAUGGUACCCCACAGCUUUCAGAAGACUGAUUCUGCCUCAAAUGGUUAUGUUACUCUCUCUGGUAGAGAGUAGAUUACUCCCAAUGGUUCUUUAUAGGUCAGGAUCCAUUUUCAAGUGGGAAAUUAGAUUUCGUCUGAUUGACAAGGUAAAGCUUCUGAAGUGUGUCAUACAAUAGGCACGAUAAGCCUAUUGAAGACAUAAAUGUUGGUUAUGGAAGCUCAAAAAUACAGUAAAUAAAUAUGAAGACAUGAAACAGAAUAUUGGACAGUAUUGCACAUUUAAAGUUAGGUAAGCAAGUGAUUACAUAAGAUUUGUAUUUUAUCAUUAGCUGGAGGUUUAUAUCUUUACUAAGAAGCAUAGACUAUUUGUGUUGCUCCACAAAAUCACAGGUAGUAUUCGUUCCUCUCUUCAUUCAUUAUAAAAUAUAUAGAUAUCUAGAAAUGCUGAAGACUUUUACUCUCAUGUCCUCUUUAUGCAUGGAUUUGUGUGUAUUGCUUAAAUACUCUCACUGAUUUCAUACAAUGUUUUUUCUAUGGAUUUUACUCUUAGGAAAUUUUACUUUAUUUUGAAGUAAAAACUACUUUGCUAUAUUUUAUUUUCUCAUUAAUGUACAAAUAGUUUUGAGUGCCUGUUAGGUGUGAGACACUAAGUCUGGAAUCCUGCCUUCUUGAGCUUUAUAUUCUAACAGAGAAGAGUAGAAACAAAGCUACUAACGUAAAUUAUUGCAUUGUGAAAAGUGCAAUGAGGAAAACAGGUAAGGUAUGAGGUCCAAGGUAGACAGCAACUGGGGUCAGUGAGGUGGGGAGUGGCCACAGAUGAAGCCACCAGUGAGCACCUGCUUUAUAAGAAGACACGCUUAGUGCCGAAGAAUGUGAGGAAGCAGCCUGUCAACAGCAGAGUGGGGUGGAGUGAAUAUAUACAAAAUCCCCUGAGGCAAGAAAGAUGUUUUUGUAUCUGAGGAACUUCAAAAAGACCCAUGUGACUGGAACAGCGAGGGUAGUAUAAGUUCAGACGGAGGGGAAAGUUGGUGUCAGGUCACGUAAGGCCUUGUAAGCUAAAAUAAAGAAGCUGAAUUCUAUUCUAAGUAAAGUGGAGGAAGGGUUUUAGGUAGGGGAGUGACAUAAUCUGAAUUAUAGCAAAAAUAGCAAUGAUAUUAAAUAUUCAGAUAGCACUUAUUAUAUAUCAGAAAAUAGCAAAGAUGUUAAAUAUUCACAUAGCAUUUAUAAUAAGCCAGAGAUUUUUCUAAGGAUUCAACAUGCACUGAUUUUUUCCAAUAACCUUAUGAAACAGGACUAAAGCUCAGAGAAAUUACAUGAUUUCCAUAAAGUUGUGGAGCUAGGAUGUUGCAGAACCAGGAUUCAAGCCUGGGCAGUCACUUACCAAUGCAGUAGCUAUGGUUCUAUGGAUCUGUCUCUAUCAUCUAUCUACCAUCUCUAUUAACCAAUCUACCUGCAUCAAUAAUUUAUCUGUGAAAAGAUGUGCAUAAGCACCAUAAAAUGGCAUUUACAGUCAUGGGAAUAGAUUAUAUUUUUCAGAGAAAUAGUUAUUAGAACACUUAGGACUGAGCCCUGAGUGACCCUAAGAGUCGAGACUGGGUAGAACAAUGAAACCAUCAAAAGAAAUUAAAAUUAGUAACCAGUAAUAAGAGGAAACUCAGGAGGAAGAGGUGGCAAGGAGCUAAGAUAGGGGAGAGUCCUAAGACAAAAUCAGAGGUCAAUGCUGCUGAGAGUUGAGUCGAAUGACAUGAGAACAUCUGCUAGAUUGUAUUGUGGGAAGUGUCCAUGACCCUGAGAAGGGUUUCCAUGAAGUAGGAAGUUGACAUACAGGAUCAAGGGUGAAUGAGAGAGAAUGCUGAGGUAGAAUAGGUAGGCAGCUCUUCAGAAUUUGCUGUUGGAAUAAAAGGGAAAAACAGCUGGAGAAGAAUAGUGGGUGGAGGGAGAACAGGGAGCCACUACAGAUGCAGAAGAGAAAAUGCUAAUGAACAUGUUGGAUGUGUAGACCUUCUUGAAGGGACAAAGCAAGAGAGAAUUCCAAGAAAAAAAAUGGAAGGUUCAGCUUUUCAUGGAAGAGGGACAUUCCUAGAUCAUCAUACAAGACA
This is a long non-coding RNA of Sapajus apella (tufted capuchin), 4832 nucleotides long. RefSeq lists it as uncharacterized. The transcript is spliced from 2 exons. Lineage: Eukaryota; Metazoa; Chordata; Mammalia; Primates; Cebidae. The record is from RefSeq and is a predicted model, not a curated record.